RNAcentral lists this ribosomal RNA (305 nucleotides) under uncultured bacterium. Its description in RNAcentral is "bacterial SSU rRNA". It matches the Rfam family "Bacterial small subunit ribosomal RNA", at positions 334 to 655 of the family's 1533-position model. The record is from RNAcentral.
UUAUCCUACGGGAGGCAGCAGUGGGGAAUAUUGCACAAUGGGGGAAACCCUGAUGCAGCGACGCCGCGUGAGCGAAGAAGUAUUUCGGUAUGUAAAGCUCUAUCAGCAGGGAAGAAAAAUGACGGUACCUGAGUAAGAAGCACCGGCUAAAUACGUGCCAGCAGCCGCGGUAAUACGUAUGGUGCAAGCGUUAUCCGGAUUUACUGGGUGUAAAGGGAGCGUAGACGGCAGCGCAAGUCUGGAGUGAAAUGCCGGGGCCCAACCCCGGAACUGCUUUGGAAACUGUGCAGCUGGAGUGCAGGCGG